Molecule: ribosomal RNA, 274 nt
Filed under: uncultured bacterium
Lineage: Bacteria
Description: partial 16S ribosomal RNA
Rfam family: Bacterial small subunit ribosomal RNA
Source: RNAcentral
AUACGGGGGGUGCAAGCGUUAUUCGGAUUUAUUGGGCGGAAAGGGCGCGUAGGCGGCUUGGUAAGUCAGAUGUGAAAGCCCGGGGCUUAACCCCGGAAGUGCAUUUGAAACUAUCAGGCUUGAGUAUGGGAGAGGGAAGUGGAAUUCCUGGUGUAGAGGUGAAAUUCGUAGAUAUCAGGAGGAACACCGGUGGCGAAGGCGACUUCCUGGACCAAUACUGACGCUGAGGCGCGAAGGCGUGGGGAGCAAACAGGAUUAGAAACCCCAGUAGUCC